UCAGGCUGCACCCGGAGACACAAUCCGCAGCCCCUGGGUCUGUGCAGUGACCAGCCAGUCCCUGAGAACUUUCCCCUCCAGCACCCGGGAAAAUGGGACUUUUGCUCCUUGUAAUUUUGGCUCUAGCAGCUUUGGAAGGUGUCCAGUCCCAGGUGCAGCUGGUGGAGUCCGGAGGGGAUGUGAAAAAGCCCGGAGACUCUCUUCGCCUCUCCUGCAAAGCCUCCGGGUUCACCUUCAGCAGCUACUACAUGAGCUGGGUUCGACAGGCUCCUAGCAAAGGACUAGAAUGGGUCGCUUAUCUCAACAGCGCUGGGGGUGAUAUACAAUACAUUGAUUCAGUGAAAGGCCGAUUCACCAUCUCCCGGGAUAAUCCCAAGAGUGAGCUGUACCUGCAAAUGACCGGCCUGAAGCCCGAGGACACCGCCCGCUAUUACUGUGCGAGAUACACAGUGACACGAAAGCGCAUCAAGCCCCAGCUCUCCUUGGGCAACAAAGUGCCCAGCAACUACCUGGAUGUGUUGGGCAGCGGCCCUCCGGGCUACUGCUACAAAGUCUGCCUGACACCGGAGUCUGCCAAGAGCCACUUCAUGUUCCUAAAGCCUGAGUCCCUCCAGGAACAGCGAGAAAGUCACUGA
Non-coding RNA from Mauremys reevesii (Reeves's turtle), 635 nucleotides. The record is from the annotation of a RefSeq genome assembly. NCBI's taxonomy places the organism in Eukaryota, Metazoa, Chordata, Testudines, Geoemydidae.